CCCUUAGACGUUCUGGGCCGCACGCGCGCUACACUGACCAGUGCAACAAGCAUCCGUCCUUGGCCGACAGGCCCGGGCAAUCUUUGAACGCUGGUCGUGAUGGGGAUAGACUUUUGCAAUUUUUGGUCUUCAACGAGGAAUUCCUAGUAAACGCAAGUCAUCAACUUGCAUUGAUUACGUCCCUGCCCUUUGUACACACCGCCCGUCGCACCUACCGAUUGAAUGGUCCGGUGAGGCGUUCGGACCGUGGCCUUUGGACGGUUCGCCGUCUGUUGGCUGCGGGAAGUUCGUUAAACCUUAUCAUUUAGAGGAAGGAGAAGUCGUAACA
Molecule: ribosomal RNA, 328 nt
Filed under: uncultured eukaryote
Lineage: Eukaryota
Description: partial 18S ribosomal RNA
Rfam family: Eukaryotic small subunit ribosomal RNA
Source: RNAcentral